Molecule: long non-coding RNA, 1680 nt
Organism: Eucalyptus grandis
Lineage: Eukaryota; Viridiplantae; Streptophyta; Magnoliopsida; Myrtales; Myrtaceae
Exons: 2
Source: RefSeq, a predicted model, not a curated record
GUGACACAUCGAGCCAUGUCCCACUAGGAUAGAUCUGAAAAUUCUCCCUAAUAUUUCAAAAUAUUGGGUCUCCUCUUGUCAAUGAAGAAGACUCUGUCUCUUCUUUUCAAAAUUGGCUCCUCUCUCGCCUUCGCUCCCAAUCCACUGCAUUCUCUGGCGCAUUGCUGCUACAUUAUAAAUAGAUAGAUUCACUCAACUAUUGAAGUGUGUUGAGCCACAUCAAAUUCUGGUGACACUAAGCACAAAGCUUCUGAGUUCAACUAAAAGAGAAUGCAACAAUCAAUUGUCUUUUUGACCAUUCUAGUAUGUGUCACUUUCUAUCUCACCUUAACAAUUUCUGAACUUCUAAGUUGUAUCUGCCUUUUUCGUCUAAACUUAUUUUGAGAGAAUUUUUUGUAUGAAGCAUUAAAUCUUUUACUAAUAUCUUGUAGACAAAGUUAUAGAGGUGCUGAAGCUUGACCAGGAAAUGGAAGAUCUUGCUAAGCUACUGAUUGCAGAGCAGUCAUUUCUCAUGUUUGGCUGAGGAUACAACUAUGCUGCAGCUUUGGGAGGUUCUUUAAUAAUAAAGGAAGUGGUAUUAAUGCACAGUGAAGGAAUACUUGCUGGUGAGAUGAAACAUGGUCCUCUGGUGCUAGUGGAUGACAGUCUGCCUGUUGUAGUGAUUACUAUUCUUGAUGCUUGCUUCGGGUUAGCUUUUGCAGUAUAGGUUAACUUGCAUCCCAGUAUUCCCUAUCUGGUCUAAAACUGAAGGUGUCAAUGUUAACAACAAGCAACAAUUUGUUAUUCAGCAACUCUGUGCCGGUAAAUGACGCCUGAUUGUCAUGGGCUUGAGGGGGGAUGCUGUAGCUGUAUCUUUCGGUGGAGCGUGUAGGGUCAUUGAAUUUCCUCAGGUGGAGGACAGUCUUGAGCCUGUAGUCAACAUAGUUCCUUUGCAGGGUGUGGGGGUUGCAGGCACCCUGUGGGACAUUUGCAGCUCUGUCAACACAGACCAAUUGCCACUUCUGGCACAAAGCACAUAUCCAUGACUGUACAAGGCAAAAGUGGCAGUGCUCUUCCACCAUGUAGCCGGCGAGAACGGGACACUCAGACAGACAUAAUUACAAUCUUGUUUUGAACCCACACGUAAAGUUUUCAAGCAAGACCAUGCAAGAGGACAAUGGAAAGCAAUACCGAAAACAAAAAAUAGGGGAAAGGGUGAAAGGGGCCUUGGAACAACAAUGUUGCAAGGGAAGCCACCAAGAGCAAAGCAGCGAGCAUCAUGAGGAUGUGAAAUGCUCGGGCACAACAAGCGGGAGCGAAUGAUAGAUGAGCAACAAGUGCCAAGGAGCUAUAGAACAGAAGACAGAAGAUGGCAACAGAGGUGGUAAAAGAGUGGGUGUCAAAAGGGGACUCUGGUUUCCCUUGAUAUUUCACCUCAAUGAAGUUGAGCAGCACGGGAACAAUAAAGGUGAGAACCGCGUGGUGGGAAGUGGAGGCAGGGAAACCUCGGACAUUUCUGUGGGGACUACUGCCGAGCGGCAUUGGAAACUGGAAUAAGUUUCCAGAUUAUCCUUUAGCCUAUGUACAAGAUGAUUAUCAAAGUAAUCAGAUAGAAAGAUGGGCGACUAGAACAGGGAAAAUACUAAUGCAUUAGAGUGGUAGCAAAUCAUGCUUUUUAUAAUGGAGUGGUUGAACACUGCA